Molecule: long non-coding RNA, 1077 nt
Organism: Puntigrus tetrazona (Sumatra barb)
Lineage: Eukaryota; Metazoa; Chordata; Actinopteri; Cypriniformes; Cyprinidae
Exons: 3
Source: RefSeq, a predicted model, not a curated record
CGCGCGCCACAUAGGUGCAAGGUUUAAUAAUAACCAGUCAUUGUAUAAUAUAAACGUAACGAUGCAUUAGUUAUUAAUAAAUAACUAACAUUUAUGUCACACCUCAGUUUUCAAAGGGAAAAGAGACUGUCUAAUCAGCGAAUGGAGGAUGUGGUGCAUGCAUACUUCUGGGAUUUAAAUGACUGUGGUGGCAAUACAGCAAUAUCUCAAGAGGAAGUAUGGCUUUCAGUUUGAAGAAAAGAGGAAGUGCUAAAGCAAACACAAAACAAUGGAAAAAACACGGAAACGUGACCUCUCAAUGUCAUCUCGGGCCGUUCUGCUUACUGUGACCAGGAUCUCCUAACCCAGAUUUCUGCUUCAAUAAACGUUUCUUCAGCCAGCAGUAUCUCCGAGACAGUUCAAAGGGUGGUUAAUUGCACUGCACUUGAGAACUGACAUGGUAGAAAUUUCAUUUUUUGUUAACUAAAGUUAUAUAAGAGCUGGAAAGUUCAUAAACAAAGAGCUGGAGAGUUUCACCGUUACAAGUUAAUAUAUAAAUGCGAUUAAAAAAGGGCAGGGAGGACAAAAACUCAAUUAAACUCAUUCUCACUAUUGCCUCUCUGAUUAUGUGGAAAACAUUAUCCACUAAAAUCACGUUAGCAAUAAUAUUUACUUUUUUGCCUUCCCCUUUUUAACAAUUGGAAUUUUGAAGGGAACCAUAACAAACCACAGGCCUUCGCUCCAGAACACCACCACUUUGAUCAAAAUGAAAUCAUCGCUUGCUCCGCAACGAUGGGCUGAUUGGUGCUCUCUCACUCACACAUGGUGCACACAUUUUUGGGAGCCCGUGCCUGAAACUCACAAGCGCUUGUGCUACUUUUGUGUUCAGGAAUAGGGGAUUGUCAUACGACUUUCAUUAGCGCCGCUAUGAAUGAUGAAUUGAUAUCCUUUUACAAUACACGACAAAAUGAAAUUAAAAGGUUUGCAAAAACCUCCUCUGAGAAAUAUGACGGUGCAUGUUUGCCAUUUAGUGUUUUUUGGGGGUUGUUUUUAUUAAGAUUUAAUAAAAGAUCACACAGUUGUUGUUGUUUUUUUCAU